UUUUUUUUCUUUUAAAGUAGACAACACAGUAUUCAAUAUGUGGUAUGUCCAGUCUUUUUAGAAGCCACUUAGUCACAAACACUGGCCAAAGUUAGCAUUUAUAUUUGUUUGUGUUAAAAAUGCAAAAAAACAAUUAUGAACGCCAACUUUGACCAGUGUUUCUGACUAAGUGGCUACUAAAAAAAAAAAAAACAGAAAAUACCCCAUUUGCAAUACCUUGGGUUGUCUUCUUUUGCAAAUGGUAUG
Non-coding RNA from Pelobates cultripes (western spadefoot toad), 246 nucleotides. The record is from the annotation of a GenBank genome assembly. Lineage: Eukaryota; Metazoa; Chordata; Amphibia; Anura; Pelobatidae.